This 242-nucleotide ribosomal RNA is filed under the name uncultured soil bacterium. Its description in RNAcentral is "partial 16S ribosomal RNA". It matches the Rfam family "Bacterial small subunit ribosomal RNA", at positions 26 to 273 of the family's 1533-position model. The record is from RNAcentral.
AGGACAAACGCUGGCGGCGUGCUUAACACAUGCAAGUCGAACGGUUCCUCUUCGGAGGAAUAGUGGCGGACGGGUGAGUAACACGUAGUUGACCUGCCCAUUAGUGGGAACAACUUCCCGAAAGGGAGGCUAAUACCGCAUAAGCUCUGUUACGUUGGUAAUAGAGGAAACCUACACCGCAAGGUGGGGCUAGUGGAGGGACUGCGGCGGAUUAGCUAGAUGGUGGGUAAUGGCCUACAUGG